UAUAAUGGGAAUUAAGGAAGGCACUUGUAAUGAAUGAUCACCGGAUGUUAUAUGCUAGUGAUGGAUCACUAAAUUCUACCCCCGAAACUAAAACUACACUACAUGUUAACUAACUUGAAUUUAAAUAAAAUCUUGAAAGUAAAGAAAAAAACUUUCCCUUCACUUAUGUCUAUGAAAUUAUGCUUAAGAAUUUAAUUUGCAACAUCAUUUGUUGUUUUCUCUGUGCAUCAACCUUCUUGUUAUAGUUUUGUUUAUGAUAAAUAUUAUGCUGUAAACUAUAUUUUAAUAAUAUAUACCUUGUUGAUUCAUUUGUAAUAGUUUGUUUCUGAAGUUGAAAUGUCCUAGUCAGUGGAAAAAUGUUAGCUGUAGCUUUCUCUCUACAGAAACUGUGACUCUGGACCCCAAAUGUAAGUUGGGCCCUCAGGAUGAAAAUACAUAAUUAUUUUUUAUUGUAUUUAUUUCGUCCAUUUUAUUUACUGUUUAAAGUAAGGAUUUACUGUUUUUGCUCAUAAGAACAGCCAUUCUGGUACAGGAGUAUGCCCUGCUGUGAUGCAAUUCUAUACUCAUAUUAAAUCCAGGUACCCCCUAAAGUGUUACAAGUCUUUCCCAGUUAUCCUUGUCAAAAGCAGAAAGCACAUAUAUUUACAGUGCUAUUAACAUUCUAUCAAAGUGUAGGUGUAAAUGCUCAUAUCUACCCUGCCUUGCAUUGGUUACCUCUGUUAAUAUUAAUAGCACAUAAUCAUAAGCAACUUGAUUUCCAAAUCAUAUGUAAUCUCCAAAAAUAUAAAACCACACAAUAAAAUAAAUCAAUACUCCCAAUUUUUUUCUAUUCCUCUUUUAAUGGUCACCAAGUCUGUAGAUAAUAAAAGCAAGAAGAGAACAAUGUGAUAUGAUUUAAUAUAAUAAAUAUAAUAUUGUGUACAUAUAACUAUAUUAAUACAAUUCAGUGUUUAGUAAAUAUGUUUAGUAAAGACAAAUGUCUUUACCAGAAGAGCAUGUUUCAUGAGGUAUUUAGAAAAUAUGGUAGGGGCAGCUGAGUGGCUCAGUCAGUUAAGUGUCCAACUUUGUCUCAGGUCAUGAUUUCAUGGUUCAUGAGUUCGAGUCCUACAUUGGGCUCUCUGCUGUCAGCACAGAGCCUGCUUUGGAUUCUCUGUCCACCUCUCUGUCUGCCCCUCCUCUGCCCAUGCAUACUCUCUCACUCUGUCUCUCAAAAAUAAACAUUUAGAAAAAAAGAAAAUAUGAUAGUGACUUGCCCAAUGAACCUAUGAGAAAUUAUUAAGUUGCUAAGGUGAGUAGUUUUAUAUUUAUGUUUGUUUUUUCCACUGUUUUUUUUUGGCAACUCUUCUAGAAAGUGGCACUCAUUUUAUUUGUUUUAUGAGAUGUUUCUACUGUAAAUUACUGUGUCAUCUUUACCUGUUUGUUAAAAUAACCAAGAAUCUGUUUUAAGCCCACAGAUUUAUUGCUAAAUUAUAACUCUAUCCCUGUGUCUCUUAUACUUAAAACACAUUAGGUUUCUACAUAACAUUUCUCUAUCAAUCCACAUUAGAAGGCUCACUAUUGUGUCAAAUUUUAGUGUGGUUAUUAUACCUGAUAUAGUAAUCCACAGAAGUGGAGUGUGAACUUUGAUUUGUUUCUAUCAUUUUACUAGAUGCUGUAGACACAAUCCCCAAUCACUCAAAACCUACACAAUCAUCUUAACCUAUGUCAGUCAGUUUAUCACACAAGAUCAACUACUUGAUAGACUUUUGCUAUGAAUUACAUAUAAUAUUUUACUUGAAUUUAGCCAAGUUAAUAAAAUAGUUCCCACAAAACUUUUGGAUUCCAAAGUAGUUAGGAUGAUGGUACAGAGUCUAUUGACCUGCUUGGACUGAAUAUCAACCAAAUUCAUGUGUUGAAGCCCUAAUCCCCAAUUGUCUGCCUUUGGAGAUAGAGCCUUUAGGAGAUAAUUAAGGUUCAAUUAGGUCAUAAAGGUGAGGCUCUAAUCUGACAAGACUGAUGGCCUUAUAAGAAGAAAAGAGAAGUCUCUCUCCACAUCCAUGUGCUCAGAGGAAAGGUGGUGUGAGUACUGCGGCAAGAAGGCAGCUAUCUGAAAGUGAGGAAAAGAGUUAUCAGCAGAAACUAAACCCUGCCAGAAAGUAAUCUGAACUUCCAGCCUCCAGAAUUGUGAGAAAUAAGUUUUUUGGUUUUUUUUUAAAUGCCACCCAGCCCAUGAUAUUUUGUAAUGGUGGUCUUAGCAGACUAAUACAUGAUUUAUACCCAAUAGUGCCAAAAUUCUGUAAAGUUGGUGAUUUGUAUUACCUAGUUGACACACACUGAAAUAAAAUUGACAAUGAAAAUGGUCUUUCAAUUUUGAAAUCUCUCAGCAAUUUGAAUUAUUGAUCUUAUCACAGAUUUUUAUGUCUGAUUUAUAUUUAAGUAAUGCAUUUCAAUAAAUUGCUAUUUUAGUCACUGCAAACAAUGACUUGCUUACAAUAGUACAGAUGUACAGAAAUAAUAUAUGAAACAUUUAUCAACCUCAUGUAUGGCAUGCGCAUUAGUCAAUUAAAAUGGACGUCCAACCAAUGAGAACAGAAAAUAGCUGCUAUUUUAAGCUUACCCAUUGAGUGUCAGAUCUGCCUACUCAUACAUCAGUAUGAUUUUUUAAAUGAGUGAUAGUACCAACAAUAGUUGAUGCAGUGAGUCUUCUGAGUCAUUUCUUUGAAAUAAUUUUAUAGUUCUUCUUCUAUAAAUGGUUUGUGAAUAAACCUGACUUAUUUAUGGAAUAUAGUGCAUUAUAAGAGUUACAACAAGGUAAGUUUGAGAUGAGGUGCCUCUUUUUAAAAUUUUUUUUAAUGUUUAUUUAUUUUUGAGAGAGAGAGAGAGUGCAAGUGGGGGAGAGGCAGAGAGAGAGCGAAACACAGACUCUGAAGCAGGCUCCAGGAUCUGAGCUGUCAGCACAGAGCCCGAUGUGGGGCUCAAACCCACAAACUGUGAGAUCAUGACCUGAGCCAAGUCUGAUGCUUAACCAACUGAGCCACGCAGGCACCCUAAGAUGAGGUGCCUCUUGAAGAGAGUAACUAAAUAUUUUGAAAAGAAAAAUGCACAUGCUCGCUGAAUGCAUUGACUUGUAAAUGGAAAAAAAGAAAAGCCUGUCUAGUGCCUUUCCAAAGAAGACAUCCAGAUGGCCAACAGACACAUGAAGAGAUGCUCAACAUCACUCAUCAUCAGGGAAAUACAAAUCAAAACCACAUUGAGAUACCACCUCACACUGGCCAGAGUGACUGAAAUUAACAACUUAAGAAACAACAGAUGUUGAUGAGGAUAUGGAGAAACAGGAACCCUCUUGCAUUGUUGGUGGGAAUGCAAACUGGUACAGCCAUUCUGGAAAACAGUGUGAAGUUUCCUCAAAAAAUUAAAAAUACAAUUACCCUACAAUCCAGCAAUAGCACUACUAGGAAUUUAUUUAAAGGAUACAGGAGUGCUGAUUCAUAGGGGCACAUGUACCCCAAUGUUUAUAGCAGCACUUUCAACAAUAGCCAAAUUAUAUCCAUCAACUGAUGAAUGGAUAAAGAUGUGAUUUAUAUAUACAGUGGAAUGCUACUUGGCAAUGAGAAGGAAUGAAAUCCUGCCAUUUGCAACAAUGUGGAUGGAACUUGAGGAUAUAAUGCUAAGUAAAAUAAGUCAGUCAAAGACAGAUAUCAUAUAUUUUCACUCAUAUAUGGAAUUUGAGAAACUUAACAGAAGACCAUGGGGGAAGAGAAAGGGGAAAAAUAGUUUCAAACAGAGAGAGAGACAAACCAUAACAGACUCUUAAAUACAGAGAACAAACUAAAGGCUGAUGACAGGGAGAGAGGGAGACAGGAAAAUGGGUGAUGGGCAUUGAGGAGGGCACUUGUUGGGAUGAGCACUGGGUGUUGUAUGUAAGUGAUGAAUCAUGGGAAUCUUCUCCCAAAUCCAAGAGCACACUGUAUACACUGUAUGUUAACUAACUUGUUAAUAUAUUAUAUUAAAAAAAAUAAAAGCUUGUCUAAGAAUUUUCUUAGAAUGAUUAUUUUUAAUGGCAAGGAUGACUGGAACUAUGUAUUUAUUGACCAGAGAAAGUAUGAAUUGUGCUCUCUCCACACAAUGGAAUAUGGUACGUAAAGUAAAUUUGAGGGAAAAACAGUAUAUACAAAAAUAGAAGUAAAUAUUAGAAAGUAAAUAUAAUAAAUCUUAUAAAGUGUUAUUAUACUUUAUACAUUGUUUUGUAUGCCUCAAAUAUUAGAUGCUGCUUUUUAAGAGGAAUAGCUCAAUGACUUAAAAACGGUUAAGAAUUUACAAAUAAAUAACAUCACUAAGAAUCACUGUAAAUCCUUUUACUACUAACUUGUAAUCCUCUUAUACAAGGCCUGUGAACACCAAAUCCUUGGAAAGAGGCUUUUAUAAGCUUUGUAUGUAGCCUUAGACAUAAUAAGAAAUAUGUUUUCUUAAUACAUCAAAUUGAUUCUGUGCUUGAAAAUAUGAUACCCUUUGAAAUAAAUAAAAUAUGGCAGUAUAUUAUUAGAA
This is a long non-coding RNA of Neofelis nebulosa (Clouded leopard), 4524 nucleotides long. RefSeq lists it as uncharacterized. The record is from RefSeq and is a predicted model, not a curated record. Lineage: Eukaryota; Metazoa; Chordata; Mammalia; Carnivora; Felidae. The transcript has 3 exons.